AGAGUUUGAUCAUGGCUCAGGAUGAACGCUGGCGGCGUGCUUAACACAUGCAAGUCGAACGGUGAAGCCAAGCUUGCUUGGUGGAUCAGUGGCGAACGGGUGAGUAACACGUGAGCAACCUGCCCUGGACUCUGGGAUAAGCGCUGGAAACGGCGUCUAAUACUGGAUAUGAGCUCUUACCGCAUGGUGGGGGUUGGAAAGAUUUUUCGGUCUGGGAUGGGCUCGCGGCCUAUCAGCUUGUUGGUGAGGUAAUGGCUCACCAAGGCGUCGACGGGUAGCCGGCCUGAGAGGGUGACCGGCCACACUGGGACUGAGACACGGCCCAGACUCCUACGGGAGGCAGCAGUGGGGAAUAUUGCACAAUGGGCGGAAGCCUGAUGCAGCAACGCCGCGUGAGGGAUGACGGCCUUCGGGUUGUAAACCUCUUUUAGCAGGGAAGAAGCGUGAGUGACGGUACCUGCAGAAAAAGCGCCGGCUAACUACGUGCCAGCCGCCGCGGUAAUAC
This 505-nucleotide ribosomal RNA is filed under the name uncultured bacterium. RNAcentral describes it as "bacterial SSU rRNA". It matches the Rfam family "Bacterial small subunit ribosomal RNA", at positions 8 to 526 of the family's 1533-position model. The record is from RNAcentral.